RNAcentral lists this ribosomal RNA (500 nucleotides) under uncultured bacterium. RNAcentral's name for it is "partial 16S ribosomal RNA". It matches the Rfam family "Bacterial small subunit ribosomal RNA", at positions 29 to 523 of the family's 1533-position model. The record is from RNAcentral.
AUUGAACGCUGGCGGCAUGCCUUACACAUGCAAGUCGAACGGCAGCACGGGAGCAAUCCUGGUGGCGAGUGGCGAACGGGUGAGUAAAGUAUCGGAACGUGCCCAGUCGUGGGGGAUAACGUAGCGAAAGUUACGCUAAUACCGCAUACGAUCUAUGGAUGAAAGCGGGGGAUCGCAAGACCUCGCGCGAUUGGAGCGGCCGAUAUCAGAUUAGGUAGUUGGUGGGGUAAAGGCUCACCAAGCCGACGAGCUGUAGCUGGGCUGAGAGGACGGCAAGCCACACUGGGACUGAGACACGGCCCAGACGCCUACGGGCGGCAGCAGUGGGGAAUUUUGGACAAUGGGCGAAAGCCUGAUCCAGCCAUGCCGCGUGCAGGAUGAGGGCCUUCGGGUUGUAAACUGCUUUUGUACGGAACGAAAAGGUUUGGCCUAAUAAGCUGAGCUCAUGACGGUACCGUAAGAAUAAGCACCGGCUAACUACGUGCCAGCAGCCGCCGUAA